GGGGGCGUCACGGCUUCGACGGGAUUGCUUGCGGCAGAGAGGCAUGCCGGGGUGUGAACACCCGUAAUCGCUCACAAAACUAUAAGUGCCGAACCUCAAUUCGCGCUUGCUGCUUAAUUAACUAAGUAGCCGAUCGCUCGGGCUUCGCCUACGGGCCCGUACCGAUCGUCGCACAGUAGGCUGGCCAAACCUGCUCCGCCUGCGCGGGAAUGGCGAGAUCGAUCAGGCUGGUCGUCGUCGCAUCUUCGUCCGUUCUAAGCGACGAUGACGAGACAAGAUGAACUGGAAAAAGCAUGAAGGCUCUCUGUUGAAGGUUUUUUCGGACGCGGGUUCGACUCCCGCCGCCUCCACCA
RNAcentral lists this transfer-messenger RNA (353 nucleotides) under Edaphobacter modestus. Its description in RNAcentral is "Standard tmRNA". It matches the Rfam family "transfer-messenger RNA". Rfam says of the family: Bacterial tmRNA, also known as 10Sa RNA or SsrA, is named for its dual tRNA and mRNA-like properties. The record is from Rfam by way of RNAcentral. Lineage: Bacteria; Pseudomonadati; Acidobacteriota; Terriglobia; Terriglobales; Acidobacteriaceae.